GUCACUUAGAACAGUUGCAAUUAUCGCGCAUCCGUCACUUUGCUACAGCUUGGCUAGCCAGCUACAACUGCUCUUUCGCUCUGUUCCUAUUCGCCCUUUCCCCACCCUGGUUAAUGUUUGUUGAUGCUCGGGUUAAUUUCUUUAUUUUUGUUUUAGUUUUGUUUUUUGUUGUUUUGUUUUGGUUGUAUCGGGUUGUUUUUUUAUUUGUUUUUCUUUAUAGGAUACAAUCUAUAGACUACUAUAGAAUGCGUCCUUUUUUCCACUGAUCAUCAGUGUGACAGGUGCUGGAGGUCUGCCUUGGCAGAAUUGUCAUGGCAAACUCCUAUUGCUACUAUAAUUAGCCUUAUUAUUACGUUUUUUGCUGUUUUGCCAUAGCUGUUUGCCAUUGCUGUUUGCCAGUUUUGCCAUUGCCAGUUUGCCAUAAAUGUUUGCCAGUGUUUUGCCUAAUGUUUGCCAUUGCGGUCAUUUGCCUGACAAGGCUAGAUCGCCGACUAGCCUUGGCCACCAACGGCACCUACCUCCAAACUCGGAUACUCUGCCGUUAACGAU
RNAcentral lists this long non-coding RNA (549 nucleotides) under Paramuricea clavata. Lineage: Eukaryota; Metazoa; Cnidaria; Anthozoa; Malacalcyonacea; Plexauridae. The record is from RNAcentral.